GAUGAACGCUGGCGGCGUGCCUAACACAUGCAAGUCGAACGAAUUACUUUAAAGGAAGUUUUCGGAUGGAAUUUAAAGUAGUUAGUGGCGGACGGGUGAGUAACGCGUGGGAAACCUGCCCUAUACAGGGGGAUAGCCUCGGGAAACUGGGAUUAAUACCCCAUAAAACUCUAGUAUCGCAUGAUACAUGAGCCAAAGAUUUAUCGGUAUAGGAUGGUCCCGCGUCUGAUUAGCUAGUCGGUGAGGUAACGGCUCACCAAGGCGACGAUCAGUAGCCGGCCUGAGAGGGUGAACGGCCACACUGGAACUGAGACACGGUCCAGACUCCUACGGGAGGCAGCAGGUGGGGAAUAUUGCACAAUGGGGGAAACCCUGAUGCAGCGACGCCGCGUGAGCGAAGAAGGCCUUCGGGUCGUAAAGCUCUGUCCUAAGGGAAGAAACGGACGGUACCUUAGGAGGAAGCCCCGGCUAACUACGUG
RNAcentral lists this ribosomal RNA (479 nucleotides) under uncultured bacterium. RNAcentral's name for it is "bacterial SSU rRNA". It matches the Rfam family "Bacterial small subunit ribosomal RNA", at positions 28 to 507 of the family's 1533-position model. The record is from RNAcentral.